This 446-nucleotide ribosomal RNA is filed under the name uncultured bacterium. RNAcentral's name for it is "partial 16S ribosomal RNA". It matches the Rfam family "Bacterial small subunit ribosomal RNA", at positions 338 to 795 of the family's 1533-position model. The record is from RNAcentral.
CCUACGGGUGGCAGCAGUCGAGAAUCAUUCACAAUGGGGGAAACCCUGAUGGUGCGACGCCGCGUGGGGGAAUGAAGGUCUUCGGAUUGUAAACCCCUGUCAUGUGGGGGCAAAUUAAAAAGAUAGUACCACAAGAGGAAGAGACGGCUAACUCUGUGCCAGCAGCCGCGGUAAUACAGAGGUCUCAAGCGUUGUUCGGAAUCACUGGGCGUAAAGCGUGCGUAGGCUGUUUCGUAAGUCGUGUGUGAAAGGCGCGGGCUCAACCCGCGGACGGCACAUGAUACUGCGAGACUAGAGUAAGGGAGGGGGAACCGGAAUUCUCGGUGUAGCAGUGAAAUGCGUAGAUAUCGAGAGGAACACUCGUGGCGAAGGCGGGUUCCUGGACAUUAACUGACGCUGAGGCACGAAGGCCAGGGGAGCGAAAGGGAUUAGAUACCCUUGUAGUC